This 433-nucleotide ribosomal RNA is filed under the name uncultured bacterium. RNAcentral's name for it is "partial 16S ribosomal RNA". It matches the Rfam family "Bacterial small subunit ribosomal RNA", at positions 29 to 507 of the family's 1533-position model. The record is from RNAcentral.
AACGAACGCUGGCGGCAUGCCUAACACAUGCAAGUCGAACGAGACCUUCGGGUCUAGUGGCGCACGGGUGCGUAACGCGUGGGAACCUGCCCUUAGGUCCGGAAUAACUCCCCGAAAGGGGUGCUAAUACCGGAUAAUGUCUUCGGACCAAAGAUUUAUCGCCUUUGGAUGGGCCCGCGUUGGAUUAGCUAGUUGGUAGGGUAAAAGCCUACCAAGGCGACGAUCCAUAGCUGGUCUGAGAGGAUGAUCAGCCACACUGGGACUGAGACACGGCCCAGACUCCUACGGGAGGCAGCAGUGGGGAAUAUUGGACAAUGGGCGAAAGCCUGAUCCAGCAAUGCCGCGUGAGUGAUGAAGGCCUUAGGGUUGUAAAGCUCUUUUACCCGGGAUGAUAAUGACAGUACCGGGAGAAUAAGCGCCGGCUAACUCCGUG